This is a long non-coding RNA of Oxyura jamaicensis (ruddy duck), 1500 nucleotides long. RefSeq lists it as uncharacterized. The transcript is spliced from 4 exons. Lineage: Eukaryota; Metazoa; Chordata; Aves; Anseriformes; Anatidae. The record is from RefSeq and is a predicted model, not a curated record.
CAGAGCUGUGAUGGCUGUGGUGAUGAGCCUGAGGAAUGCUGCUGGCAUUGAGAGCUCUCUGCUGUGUCACACAUUCCUGUGUUUUGCAGUCACAUUAGGAUCUGAAGGAAUUAGCCCCAGGAAAGCUCAGAGUUUAUUUCAGACUGGGGAGAGCUACUAAGAACACAGCUGAGUACAAGUACAAAGAAGUCAUGAGAAGAAUGAUUAUUUUCCAAGUGUGGAUCUUUGAAUUUUAAAAUGAAUGUUGGCCUUGGCUUCAAGAGCCACCAUGCUUUGAAAGAUAAAUUAUAAGAUGCAGAGACUACAUAUGGUUACAAUAAAAAGAAACAUUCACAAAGAUGAUUAUUUAGCACACCUCCCAGAUCUGGUACCACCAUUCCAGAGAUCUUGCACACCUCUUCCUCAGUCUUCUCAGUUCAAUGGAUAGCUGGUAGAAUCAUCCUCAGACUCAGGAAAGAUUAACCCAUCCAUACAAAGGAUAAAUCUAGAUUGCCUGAAGUUUUCUAUUAUCUAGCCAUCAUGGUUGUUUUGUGUGUCCUGAGAAAUUAGGGGAUCAUCCACUUUUUCUUGCUCAGAAGGUGUCAGUGACCUGUGUUCAAAAGCCUGAGAAAUCUCUGCCCUAUGAUGUGGCAUUGGGGUAGUACCACUGCAUGAGAACAAGCAGACUGUCAACAUUACCUUUAAAUUGGAUGAGAAAGCCCUUUUGGAGUCACUGAAAGUACACGCAUCAUACUGUCAGAAGCUGAAUAGUCAGCCAGAAGUCAGAUUGUUACUUCAGGUAACAAACAUUAGGAGGAAAAAAUAUGUAGCCUACACUGGUGAUCCAAUACAAAAUAGUAUACAUAUUAGACUGCAUGUGGGUGUUCAUUUCUGGUAGUUUUGGGAACAUGAAUGACACAUAUCGGAUAUGAUGGGCCAUUAAGAAGAAAUUGUUUAGAAAUUAAUGACCAAGAAAAUAUUGUCAAGCAAGUCUGGUUAAUCACGAAAAAUCUGCACCUCUACAGACAAUUGACACAUAGGUUGCAUGUCAGCCAACCAGAUGUGCUAUUUCAAGGUGUUUAAUACAGCAAUGGUGACUGAAGUGGCAUUUAACUCUGCCACUCUUUCCCCACCCCAAGUCUCACUUGGGCACAGGACCAAGUGGGAUGAAGAAAGAGUAGGAAGAGUAGUAGGAACUAGUGGGGAUAUCUCAAAGGAUCCCCAAAAUUAAAGAUUAGGCAGCUGGGGGUGACAUGCUACAAGAGAGAGCACAGAAAAGAGCAAAGAGAGAGCACAGAGAAGAGGCAAUAUCAGAUAAAAGGCAUAGCUGGAAGAAAAAUAAGGAAACACUGAGGAAACUCAUUGGAGAGGUCAUACAGAGACCCAGAUGGGUGACAAAGACAAUCCUAGGGCAACUCACUUGAGGCCUGGCUAGAAAGAAUGAAAGAGCUGGCUUUAGGAGGUGAGGGAUGCUAGUGAAGUUCACUCAGGGAUCAAAGAGGAUAAAAGCAAAGCAGCAGG